GUAAUUAUUAACUCCAUAAAAAAAAAUUAAUUCCAACUCUAAGCUCCUUCUCUUUCUUUUUCCUUUUCAGGGUUCGAUGGCGGGUAUCAAGAGUUAGGACCACUGACGGCAGCUAAUGGACAAGGUUCUUCCCAAAGAGCCAGGACAAACAAAAGGCAGUAUGUCGACACCACAAAAACAAUCGACGAGAAAAAAAAGUGGAUACCUAACCUCGAAAUGAGCUCAAUUCAACGAGGGAUCCUGCACUGCAACACCAGGCGAGAAAACCGCGGAAUCUAAUUAUGUCGCCUCGUCGUCCGUCUGUCUGUCCGGAGUUUAUAGUGACGUCUAUAGGGAAGAUACCAAGUCACGCUGGUAUAGCAGUGACGGAAAAUCUGCGCCUCCCUCGAUGGAUUGGAUGGGCGAUGGUGUGGCUCUUUACUCCAAAAAUUCUGCCAGGACUUAAUUUUUAAGAUUUUUCUUAAUUUUCUUUGUAUUUAUUAAGUUUUGUUUCAAGCUUAAUUCAGUUUCGUUUUGUUUUAAUUUUAAUUCAUUUUCAUUUUGUUUAAACUUAAUUCAGUUUUGUUUUGUUUAAACUUUAAUUCAUUUUCAUUUUGUUUAAACUUAAUUCAGUUUUGUUUUGUUUAAACUUAAUUCAGUUUCAAGUCUUUCCUUUUUGUUUAAAAUUUUGCCAAACUUUAAGAUGUUUAUUUAGUUUUUGUAUAACUAUUAAGAAUACUUUCAGGUUUAGUUCUUAAAUGUUCACAUUUUAGCUUUUUAAAUUUUAU
Long non-coding RNA from Musca domestica (house fly), 767 nucleotides. RefSeq lists it as uncharacterized. NCBI's taxonomy places the organism in Eukaryota, Metazoa, Arthropoda, Insecta, Diptera, Muscidae. The record is from RefSeq and is a predicted model, not a curated record. The transcript has 3 exons.